Molecule: long non-coding RNA, 649 nt
Organism: Xyrauchen texanus (razorback sucker)
Lineage: Eukaryota; Metazoa; Chordata; Actinopteri; Cypriniformes; Catostomidae
Exons: 3
Source: RefSeq, a predicted model, not a curated record
CUCUGUUCUCUCUUUUUCUCUUGCACAUGCAACUACAGGAGCAUACAGAGAAGGCACGCUCAAAUAUAUACAUCAACGCCAUGUCGGACUCAGAGACUGCAGCUCCUGCCGAGACCCCUGUCCCGGCACCCUGUGUGGCCAUCAAGGCUGAUUUAGACAAAUGUGUAAAGGAGAAUGGCGAGGAAGCAUGUAAGGAGCUGAUUGAGGCGUUUGCUGCCUGUGUGAAGAGCAAUGCUGAGGCGUCAUGAGGAGCUCAACAUGCAGGAGAAUGGAUAACUGCACUGAGUCCUCCACCUUCCCAGCAUUCCCUGCAGCUCAUGGCACUGGACUCUGAUUACUCUAAUGGGGUUGGCAGCAGAGACCAUACUUGUGUCUCUUCCCUUCUCUACCUCCCUGUGAAGCUUAAAUGGAUUCCUAGAACCACCCACCUCCCCUCCCCUUAUGUGGAUGAUUGUAUAGAUCUGAUCUGUAGACAGUUUGGAAGAGCUUAUGAUUUGAUGUAAAUUACGUGUCUCAGAUGCUAACAAAGUGGAAUAAAGAUUUAUAAAUGGUUCAACAUUUGUAACAUUUGCUUCAUCUUGACUAUAUUCUGUGUUUAACUCCUGUACCCAAAAGGGCUUGUUCACCCAAAAAUAAAAAUGAUCAUAAU